Molecule: long non-coding RNA, 1508 nt
Filed under: Chrysolophus pictus (golden pheasant)
Lineage: Eukaryota; Metazoa; Chordata; Aves; Galliformes; Phasianidae
Description: lncRNA (ENSCPIG00010004759.1)
Source: RNAcentral
AAUGUGGGGCUGUGGGGUCAUUGUAGGGUUAUGGUGGCCCUGUGGGUUCGUUGUGGGGUUAUGGGGUGGUUAUGGGGUCAUUGUGAGGUUAUGGAGUUAUGGGGUCGUUGUGGGGUUAUGGGGUGGUUAUGGGGUGGUUAUGGGGUCAUUGUGAGGUUAUGGAGUUAUGGGGUCGUUGUGGGGUUAUGGGAUGGUUAUGGGGUCCUUGUGGGGUCCUUGUGGGGUUAUGGGGUGCUUAUGGGGUCUUUAUGGGGUCCUUAUGCUUAAGGGGUUAUGGGGUCACUGUGGGGUUAUGGGGUCCGCAUGUGGUCCUUGUGGAGUCCUUAUGGGAUCGCUGUGGGGUUAUGAGAUGGUUAUGGGGUCCUUGUGGGGUUGUGGGGUCAUUGUGGGGUUAUGGGAUGGUUAUGGGGUCACUGUGAGGUUAUGGGGUCCUUAUGGGGUUGUUAUGGGGUCCUUGUGGGGCUACGGGGGUCGUUGUGGGGUUAUGGGGUCACUGUGAGGUUACAGAAUUUUGGGGUCCUUAUGGGGUCCUUGUGGGGUUGUGGGGUCCUUAUGGGGUCGUUGUGGGGUUAUGGGAUGGUUGUGGGGUCCUUGUGGGAUUCUUGUGGGGUUCUUGUGGGGUUCUUGUGGGGUCAUUGUGGGGUUAUGGGGUCCUUGUGGGGUUAUGGGGUUGGGGGGUCAUUGUGGAGUCCUUAUGGGGUCAUUGUGGGGUUAUGGGAUCUUUGUGGGGUUAUGGGGUUGUUAUGGGGUCCUUGUGGGGUCCUUGUGGGUUUAUGGGGUCCUUGUGGGGUUAUGGGGGUCACUGUGGGGUCGUUGUGGGCUUAUGGGAUUGUGAUGGGGUUAUGGGUCAGGUUAUGGGGUUGCUUUGGGGUUAUGGGGUCGCUGUGGGAUUACGGGGGUCACUGUGGGGCCAUUGUGCAGUUAUGGGAUUGUUAUGGGGUUAUGGGUCAGGUUAUGGGGUCGCUGUGGGGUUAUGGGGUCGCUGUGGGGUUAUGGGGUCGCUGUGGGGUUAUGGGGGUCGUUGUGGGGUCGUUGUGGGGUUAUGGGAUUGUGAUGGGGUUAUGGGUCAGGGUUAUGGGGUCGCUGUGGGGUUAUGGGAUUGUGAUGGGGUUAUGGGUCAGGUUUUGGGGUCGCUUUGGGGUUAUGGGGUCGCUGUGGGAUUACGGGGGUCACUGUGGGGCCAUUGUGCAGUUAUGGGAUUGUUAUGGGGUUAUGGGUCAGGUUAUGGGGUCGCUGUGGGGUUAUGGGGUCGCUGUGGGGUUAUGGGGUCGCUGUGGGGUUAUGGGGGUCGUUGUGGGGUCGUUGUGGGGUUAUGGGAUUGUGAUGGGGUUAUGGGUCAGGGUUAUGGGGUCGCUGUGGGGUUAUGGGAUUGUGAUGGGGUUAUGGGUCAGGUUUUGGGGUCGCUGUGGGUUUUGGGGUCGCUGUGGGGUUUUGGGGUCGCUGUGGGGUUAUGGGAUUGUGAUGGGGUUAUGCGUNNNNNNNNNNNNNNNNNNNNNNNNNNNNNNNNN